Molecule: small nuclear RNA, 97 nt
Filed under: Zalophus californianus (California sea lion)
Lineage: Eukaryota; Metazoa; Chordata; Mammalia; Carnivora; Otariidae
Source: RNAcentral
AUUAGAAAUAAGUGCUAAAAUGGUAACAAUCCAGACGUGGUUAGCCUGGCCCCUCGGUGAGGAAGACACAUAAAUUCGAGAGGUGUUCCAUAUUUUU